This 257-nucleotide ribosomal RNA is filed under the name uncultured bacterium. RNAcentral describes it as "partial 16S ribosomal RNA". It matches the Rfam family "Bacterial small subunit ribosomal RNA", at positions 524 to 776 of the family's 1533-position model. The record is from RNAcentral.
GACAGAGGUGCCAAGCGUUAGGCGGAAUCACUGGGCUUAAAGCGUGUGUAGGCGGAUCGUUAAGUACCUUGUGAAAUCCCACGGCUCAACCGUGGAACUGCUGGGUAUACUGGCGAUCUUGAGCCACCUAGGGGCGAGCGGAACAAGCGGUGGAGCGGUGAAAUGCGUAGAUAUCGCUUUGGAACGCCAAUGGUGAAAAACAGCUCGCUGGGGGUGUGGCUGACGCUGGAGACACGAAAGCCAGGGGAGCGAACGGG